RNAcentral lists this ribosomal RNA (245 nucleotides) under uncultured Desulfococcus sp. RNAcentral's name for it is "partial 16S ribosomal RNA". It matches the Rfam family "Bacterial small subunit ribosomal RNA", at positions 524 to 768 of the family's 1533-position model. The record is from RNAcentral. Lineage: Bacteria; Pseudomonadati; Thermodesulfobacteriota; Desulfobacteria; Desulfobacterales; Desulfococcaceae.
UACAGAGGGGGCAAGCGUUAUUCGGAAUUAUUGGGCGUAAAGAGCGCGUAGGCGGGGGAGAAAGUUAAAUGUUAAAGCCCGGGGCUCAACUCCGGAUCAGCAUUUAAUACUCCUUUCCUAGAGGAUGGGUGGAGAAAAGGGAAUUCCACGUGUAGCGGUGAAAUGCGUAGAUAUGUGGAAGAACACCGGUGGCGAAAGCGCUUUUCUAACUUAUUCCUGACGCUGAGGCGCGAAAGCGAGGGGAG